CUACGGGUCGCACCAGUGAGGAAUAUUGCACAAUGGGGGGAACCCUGAUGCAGCAACGCCGCGUGGAGGAUGACGCAUUUCGGUGUGUAAACUCCUUUUAUAUGUCAAGAAAAUGACGGUAGCAUAUGAAUAAGCACCGGCUAACUCCGUGCCAGCAGCCGCGGUAAUACGGAGGGUGCAAGCGUUACUCGGGAUCACUGGGCGUAAAGGACGCGUAGGCGGGUUGGAAAGUCAGGUGUGAAAUCCUACAGCUUAACUGUAGAACUGCACUUGAAACUUCUAAUCUAGAGUAUGGGAGGGGGAGAUGGAAUUAGUGGUGUAGGGGUAAAAUCCGUAGAUAUCACUAGGAAUACCUAAAGCGAAGGCGAUCUCCUGGAACAUUACUGACGCUAAGGCGUGAAAGCGUGGGGAGCAAACAGGAUUAGAUACCCUUGUAGUC
RNAcentral lists this ribosomal RNA (439 nucleotides) under uncultured bacterium. RNAcentral's name for it is "partial 16S ribosomal RNA". It matches the Rfam family "Bacterial small subunit ribosomal RNA", at positions 339 to 795 of the family's 1533-position model. The record is from RNAcentral.